This 935-nucleotide ribosomal RNA is filed under the name synthetic construct. RNAcentral describes it as "bacterial SSU rRNA". It matches the Rfam family "Bacterial small subunit ribosomal RNA", at positions 45 to 873 of the family's 1533-position model. The record is from RNAcentral. RNAcentral also lists the same sequence under 1 other name.
UGCCUUANNUGCAAGUCGAACGGUAACAGGUCUUCGGAUGCUGACGAGUGGCGAACGGGUGAGUAAUACAUCGGAACGUGCCCGAUCGUGGGGGAUAACGAAGCGAAAGCUUUGCUAAUACCGCAUAAGAUCUAAGGAUGAAAGCAGGGGACCGCAAGGCCUUGCGCGAACGGAGCGGCCGAUGGCAGAUUAGGUAGUUGGUGGGAUAAAAGCUUACCAAGCCGACGAUCUGUAGCUGGUCUGAGAGGACGACCAGCCACACUGGGACUGAGACACGGCCCAGACUCCUACGGGAGGCAGCAGUGGGGAAUUUUGGACAAUGGGCGAAAGCCUGAUCCAGCCAUGCCGCGUGCAGGAUGAAGGCCUUCGGGUUGUAAACUGCUUUUGUACGGAACGAAAAGACUCUGGUUAAUACCUGGGGUCCAUGACGGUACCGUAAGAAUAAGCACCGGCUAACUACGUGCCAGCAGCCGCGGUAAUACGUAGGGUGCGAGCGUUAAUCGGAAUUACUGGGCGUAAAGCGUGCGCAGGCGGUUAUAUAAGACAGAUGUGAAAUCCCCGGGCUCAACCUGGGAACUGCAUUUGUGACUGUAUAGCUAGAGUACGGUAGAGGGGGAUGGAAUUCCGCGUGUAGCAGUGAAAUGCGUAGAUAUGCGGAGGAACACCGAUGNCGAAGGGCAAUCCCCUGGGACCUGUACUGACCCCNNNNCAACGAAAGCGUGGGGAGCAAACAGGAUUAAGAUUACCCUGGUUAGUCCACCGCCCCUAAACGAUGUCAACUGGUUUGUUGGGUUCUUCACCUGACUUCAGUAACGAAGCUAACNGCGUGGAAGUUGAACGNNCCUGGGGGAGUACGGCCGCCAGCGNUUGAAUGANAACNUCGAAAGNGAACUUGGACGGNGNGAACCCCGCACCAAGCCGGGNGGGAAUGGAAU